Molecule: ribosomal RNA, 599 nt
Filed under: uncultured Lachnospiraceae bacterium
Lineage: Bacteria; Bacillati; Bacillota; Clostridia; Lachnospirales; Lachnospiraceae
Description: bacterial SSU rRNA
Rfam family: Bacterial small subunit ribosomal RNA
Source: RNAcentral
CUGAGUGGCGGACGGGUGAGUAACGCGUGGGUAACCUGCCUUGUACUGGGGGACAACAGUUAGAAAUGACUGCUAAUACCGCAUAAGCGCACAGUAUCGCAUGAUACAGUGUGAAAAACUCCGGUGGUACAAGAUGGACCCGCGUCUGAUUAGCUAGUUGGUAAGGUAACGGCUUACCAAGGCGACGAUCAGUAGCCGACCUGAGAGGGUGACCGGCCACAUUGGGACUGAGACACGGCCCAAACUCCUACGGGAGGCAGCAGUGGGGAAUAUUGCACAAUGGGCGAAAGCCUGAUGCAGCGACGCCGCGUGAGUGAAGAAGUAUUUCGGUAUGUAAAGCUCUAUCAGCAGGGAAGAAAAUGACGGUACCUGACUAAGAAGCCCCGGCUAACUACGUGCCAGCAGCCGCGGUAAUACGUAGGGGGCAAGCGUUAUCCGGAUUUACUGGGUGUAAAGGGAGCGUAGACGGUAAAGCAAGUCUGAAGUGAAAGCCCGCGGCUCAACUGCGGGACUGCUUUGGAAACUGUUUAACUGGAGUGUCGGAGAGGUAAGUGGAAUUCCUAGUGUAGCGGUGAAAUGCGUAGAUAUUAGGAGGAACA